GACGAACGCUGGCGGCGUGCUUAACACAUGCAAGUCGAACGGAAAGGCCCUGCUUUUGUGGUGUGCUCGAGUGGCGAACGGGUGAGUAACACGUGAGUAACCUGCCCUUGACUUUGGUAUAACUUCAGGAAACUGGGGCUAAUACCGGAUAGGAGCUCCUGCUGCAUGGUGGGGGUUGGAUCGUUUCGGCGGUUGGGGAUGGACUCGCGGCUUAUCAGCUUGUUGGUGGGGUAGUGGCUUACCAAGGCUUUGACGGGUAGCCGGCCUGAGAGGGUGACCGGCCACAUUGGGACUGAGAUACGGCCCAGACUCCUACGGGAGGCAGCAGUGGGGAAUAUUGCACAAUGGGCGGAAGCCUGAUGCAGCAACGCCGCGUGCGGGAUGACGGCCUUCGGGUUGUAAACCGCUUUCGCCUGUGACGAAGCGUGAGUGACGGUAAUGGGUAAAGAAGCACCGGCUAACUACGUG
RNAcentral lists this ribosomal RNA (468 nucleotides) under uncultured bacterium. Its description in RNAcentral is "partial 16S ribosomal RNA". It matches the Rfam family "Bacterial small subunit ribosomal RNA", at positions 28 to 507 of the family's 1533-position model. The record is from RNAcentral.